GUGGCUCAGGUGGCCAGACCAUUGUCGUAUCAGGAGGUGGAGGUAGCCAAGGCUCUGGCUCUGGCAUUGGAGGAGGGUGUGGUGGGGGCUCUAUGCAGACAAAGCAACCCAUUUCCAUCCCACCUUGCAUGGGUCAAACUAAGCAACCUUGCCAAUGGCCCCCCAGCCAGAAGUAAAGGAUUCCCAGUUGUUAUUUCAUUCUGCACUAUGUGUUCUUCCAUUUAGGAGAAUUGGACCAAUGUGCCAGUUUAUUUCCUCUUCGUUUUGCAUCUUUGCAUGUUGUGUGCCUCGUUCUCUGCCUCAUUUGCAAGCCUCUGUAUGUCUUCUCUGUAUUGUGUUUGUUUGCUUUUAUUGCAUGAUCAAUGUAGUGUUAUUUUUUAAAAAAAUGUGAAUAUUUAUAUCCUUGUAUUGGAGGAGUGUUUGGUAAUAUCCUCCAACCGUUUCCUGCUUCAGUGUCUCCACUAACGCAUGGGGGAUAAUAAAGCUUAUUUGAGAACUCA
This is a long non-coding RNA of Elgaria multicarinata webbii, 500 nucleotides long. RefSeq lists it as uncharacterized. The record is from RefSeq and is a predicted model, not a curated record. NCBI's taxonomy places the organism in Eukaryota, Metazoa, Chordata, Lepidosauria, Squamata, Anguidae. The transcript has 2 exons.